GUGUGCCGACACGCGAGUUAGGGCUAACACUCAAAUUAACUAACAUAACUUCACACAGAACGCGACAGAUCUGAAUAAAACAUACCUGGGACAAACACCGACAAAGGCAGGUUAACAUAAUGCAUCAUAAUGAGAAUAAAUACAGUUCGUCAGAGGAUUACCAUACACACACACACACACACACACACACGUCAUUUUAUCAUUGCGAAUCACAGAUAUUCAA
Non-coding RNA from Pimephales promelas (fathead minnow), 223 nucleotides. The record is from RefSeq and is a predicted model, not a curated record. Lineage: Eukaryota; Metazoa; Chordata; Actinopteri; Cypriniformes; Leuciscidae.